This 224-nucleotide long non-coding RNA is filed under the name Hordeum vulgare. RNAcentral's name for it is "long non-coding RNA (HVUL_LNC001065)". Lineage: Eukaryota; Viridiplantae; Streptophyta; Magnoliopsida; Poales; Poaceae. The record is from RNAcentral.
CACGAAAACAUCAACGUCUUCGAUUGAAGACAUUCAUUUUUAGGGGUCGACUUUCUUCGGAUAUAUCAAACUCCCCCGCGACUUAUAGAGCCCCUAUACACUCACAAACACAUUAGUCCCUUAACCUAUAAGUCUUCAAUCCACCAAAAUCAAUAAGGGACACUAGAUGCACUUACAAUCUCCCCCUUUUUGACGACUGAUGACAAAUAGGUUAAGUUUUCAAC